GACGAACGCUGGCGGCGUGCUUAACACAUGCAAGUCGAGCGGUAAGGCCCUUCGGGGUACACGAGCGGCGAACGGGUGAGUAACACGUGAGCAACCUGCCCCUGACUCCGGGAUAAGCGGUGGAAACGCCGUCUAAUACCGGAUACGACCCACCACCUCAUGGUGGAGGGUGGAAAGUUUUUCGGUCAGGGAUGGGCUCGCGGCCUAUCAGCUUGUUGGUGGGGUAACGGCCUACCAAGGCGAUUACGGGUAGCCGGCCUGAGAGGGCGACCGGCCACACUGGGACUGAGACACGGCCCAGACUCCUGCGGGAGGCAGCAGUGGGGAAUAUUGCGCAAUGGGCGAAAGCCUGACGCAGCGACGCCGCGUGGGGGAUGACGGCCUUCGGGUUGUAAACCUCUUUUACCACCAACGCAGGCUCCGGGUUCUCCCGGGGUUGACGGUAGGUGGGGAAUAAGGACCGGCUAACUACGUGCCAGCAGCCGCGGUAAUACGUAGGGUCCGAGCGUUGUCCGGAAUUAUUGGGCGUAAAGAGCUCGUAGGCGGCGUGUCGCGUCUGCUGUGAAAGACCGGGGCUUAACUCCGGUUCUGCAGUGGAUACGGGCAUGCUAGAGGUAGGUAGGGGAGACUGGAAUUCCUGGUGUAGCGGUGAAAUGCGCAGAUAUCAGGAGGAACACCGGUGGCGAAGGCGGGUCUCUGGGCCUUACCUGACGCUGAGGAGCGAAAGCAUGGGGAGCGAACAGGAUUAGAUACCCUGCUAGUCCAUGCCGUAAACGUUGGGCGCUAGGUGUGGGGACUUUCCACGGUUUCCGCGCCGUAGCUAACGCAUUAAGCGCCCCGCCUGGGAGUACAGCCGCAAGGCUAAAACUCAAAGGAAUUGACGGGGGCCCGCACAAGCGGCGGAGCAUGUUGCU
This 914-nucleotide ribosomal RNA is filed under the name Nocardiopsis lucentensis. RNAcentral describes it as "bacterial SSU rRNA". It matches the Rfam family "Bacterial small subunit ribosomal RNA", at positions 28 to 946 of the family's 1533-position model. The record is from RNAcentral. Lineage: Bacteria; Bacillati; Actinomycetota; Actinomycetes; Streptosporangiales; Nocardiopsidaceae.